AAAAAAAAAAAGUUAUUGUUUUUAUAUUGUUAUUGUCCCUGGGAAUCUUUGCUAUCGGUGUACUGUGUACUUCCUGCCUACCUCUGAGUUUGUAAAGUAGGUAAAAGAGCAGAUGUGAUUGCUAAGAAUAUAGCAUUGACCUCUAUGUAAAAUUUAUAGGUUCUCACACAGAGUGCUGAGGCUUUUGAUCAGCAUCUUUGAAAGUAUUGCUUGUAUACAUUUCAAGUAAAAGAUCAUUCUAAUUAUUUCAUAGUCAUACUUUACAUGAAAGAGCUUUGUAAAUAAUUGGAAAAUCUUUAACAAGCUUUGAUUAAUAAUGCUGGCUUUAAUUUUAACUUCAUAUUAUUGUUUUCCAAAUGAUUUCCAUAAUAGAGACCAUGGUGGAUCUAAGCAUGAGAUUUUAAGUUCCUGCCUUUCAAAGGUGUGGCUAAAAACAAGGAGGAUAGAAAACACUGUGUGCUGUCAUGCCAAGCUCUCUGUGUAGGGACUUUAUCUUCACCAUUGCAUUUCAUCCUCAAAACAGCCCUGCAAGGUAAGUAUCUGUAUUUUAUAGAUGGGAAAAACUAAGAUUCAGAAAGUUUACAUAACUACAAAUCUGGUAAGAACUAGAGCCGAGAUCCAUUUCCUGCUCUGUCUUUUCUCACAGUUGUUGCUACAAGGCCACUGAGCUGACUCACCACCCCGGGAGUCAGUGAAGGCUUCCCCGAGGAAGCAGUGUUUGAGCUGAGCCUUGAAACAGAAGUAAGAAGACUCCAGGAGAAGGCUGCAGUAGAGGCUAGAGCUAUUUUUCCUGGCAACAGACCCAGAGAGAAGCUCAACACUUGGAGUAUGAAAGGAGAGUUGGAAAGAAAUCAACUGUGGAAUAACUGCCCAAACUAUCAAUCGAUCAAGAGUGAGGCAUUUUCAAGCAUGCAAGAACUCAGACCAUUUACCACCCACAGACUAUUUCUGAAAGAAUUACUGAAGCAAAACAAAAAAGAAUCCAAGUAGGAGGAAGCCAUGGCCUCUAAGGAACAGUGGAUCUCACCCAAGAUUGUAAUGAAAUAUAAUUCCAGGAUGACAACCUUGAGGCAGGCCUAGAAAGCCAUCAGUCUGAAUUAGAACCAGAAGUCAGAUGCUCUGUGAAGAAUCUCUUUCAGGAGGACAUGGAUUUCUUCUAUAAAUUGAAUGACUGAGAAGCUGAGUGGUCUUGUGACAAGGCAAAGGCAUGGUAGGUCAUUGUGAUAAGGUAUCAUCCAAACACUCUCCAAACUGUGAAGUAAUUUUCUUCUUCCAAUAGCAAAGGUUUAUUGACAAGAGUUACGUCUCCUCUAUAGGCUCAAGGGCACAGCUGUGCUUGGUUCUGCAGUGAACAAUGAUCUCCCUACGAAUAUUAUGAAUGCUACUUUUCAGUUUUCAGUUUAAAAAAUCAAUUUAUAGACAAUGCAUCAAAGAUUAAUUGUAGUUAUAGGACAAGUGUGAAAACAAUAGUACACUGGAAUGGAGGUUAGGAGAGAGGGAAGGAGCAAAGGAACAAGAUGUAAUGAUGUUGGAUUCUUUUCAUCAGAAAUAAAAAGAAUUAAGAGAUA
RNAcentral lists this long non-coding RNA (1568 nucleotides) under Homo sapiens (human). RNAcentral describes it as "HSALNT0368950". The record is from RNAcentral. Lineage: Eukaryota; Metazoa; Chordata; Mammalia; Primates; Hominidae.